RNAcentral lists this ribosomal RNA (375 nucleotides) under uncultured bacterium. Its description in RNAcentral is "bacterial SSU rRNA". It matches the Rfam family "Bacterial small subunit ribosomal RNA", at positions 521 to 896 of the family's 1533-position model. The record is from RNAcentral.
UAAGACGAACCGUCCAAACGUUGUUCGGAAUCACUGGGCUUAAAGGGCGCGUAGGCGGCCUGCCAAGUCAGGGGUGAAAUCUUUCGGCUUAACCGGAAAACAGCUUCUGAUACUGGCGGGCUCGAGGGAGGCAGGGGCAGAUGGAACUUCGGGUGGAGCGGUGAAAUGUGCAGAUAUCCGAAGGAACGCCGGUGGCGAAAGCGAUCUGCUGGACCUCAUCUGACGCUGAGGCGCGAAAGCCAGGGGAGCGAACGGGAUUAGAUACCCCGGUAGUCCUGGCCCUAAACGAUGGGCGCUGGGUAGUGAGCUUACAUGGGCCCACUGCCGAAGCAAAAGUGGUAAGCGCCCCGCCUGGGGAGUAUGGUCGCAAGGCUG